ACUGUCGCACGGUUCACCGAGAGCGAUUGGAAAAUCGCGCACGAUACGAAAACUGUACGCGUAUGUCCCACGCGCGUCGAUCGCGUUAGAGUUGUACACGUUGUACCUGCACGCAGUGUUGUAGGCGUCGGCGAAAUCGACGACAAUGCGAAGGGGACAGGGGCGAAUUCUUCGAUAGUGUCGAUACGCGUUUCAAAUCGAGUACUGCCGCACAGUAAUUCCGCAUCUUUAGAACGAAAUAACCGUUUGUUAUAUAGAAUUAGCAAUUUAACAUUAAGGUGUCUAUCGUUUAUCAGCCAUCCAGCUGGAUUUGAGGUUGAG
This is a non-coding RNA of Cinara cedri, 321 nucleotides long. The record is from the annotation of a GenBank genome assembly. NCBI's taxonomy places the organism in Eukaryota, Metazoa, Arthropoda, Insecta, Hemiptera, Aphididae.